AAUGGACGAAAGUCUGACGGAGCGACGCCGCGUGGAUGAAGAAGGCCGAAAGGUUGUAAAAUCCUUUUGUCGAUGAAGAAUAAGCAUGGGAGGGAAUGCCCGUGUGAUGACGUUAGUCGGCGAAUAAGCCCCGGCUAAUUACGUGCCAGCAGCCGCGGUAACACGUAAGGGGCGAGCGUUGUUCGGAAUUAUUGGGCGUAAAGGGCGCGUAGGCGGUCCUGUAAGCCCGGCGUGAAAACCUGGAGCUCAACUCCGGGCCUGCGCUGGGAACUGCGGGACUAGAGUCAUGGAAGGGAAGUUGGAAUUCCAGGUGUAGGGGUGAAAUCUGUAGAUAUCUGGAAGAACACCGGUGGCGAAGGCGAACUUCUGGCCAAUGACUGACGCUGAGGCGCGAAAGUGCGGGGAGCAAA
This 410-nucleotide ribosomal RNA is filed under the name uncultured bacterium. Its description in RNAcentral is "bacterial SSU rRNA". It matches the Rfam family "Bacterial small subunit ribosomal RNA", at positions 370 to 772 of the family's 1533-position model. The record is from RNAcentral.